UCGACGAUGAAUCUUCUAGCUUGCUAGAAGUGGAUUAGUGGCGCACGGGUGAGUAAUGCAUAGGUUAUGUGCCCUUUAGUCUGGGAUAGCCACUGGAAACGGUGAUUAAUACUGGAUACUCCCUACGGGGGAAAGUUUUUCGCUAAAGGAUCAGCCUAUGUCCUAUCAGCUUGUUGGUGAGGUAAUGGCUCACCAAGGCUAUGACGGGUAUCCGGCCUGAGAGGGUGAUCGGACACACUGGAACUGAGACACGGUCCAGACUCCUACGGGAGGCAGCAGUAGGGAAUAUUGCUCAAUGGGGGAAACCCUGAAGCAGCAACGCCGCGUGGAGGAUGAAGGUCUUAGGAUUGUAAACUCCUUUUGUUAGAGAAGAUUAUGACGGUAUCUAACGAAUAAGCACCGGCUAACUCCGUGCCAGCAGCCGCGGUAAUACGGAGGGUGCAAGCGUUACUCGGAAUCACUGGGCGUAAAGAGUGCGUAGGCGGGGUAAUAAGUCAGAUGUGAAAUCCUGUAGCUUAACUACAGAACUGCAUUUGAAACUGUUACUCUGGAGUGUGGGAGAGGUAGGUGGAAUUCCUGGUGUAGGGGUAAAAUCCGUAGAGAUCAAGAGGAAUACUCAUUGCGAAGGCGACCUGCUGGAACAUUACUGACGCUGAUGCACGAAAGCGUGGGGAGCAAACAGGAUUAGAUACCCUGGUAGUCCACGCCCUAAACGAUGGAUGCUAGUUGUUGCCUUGCUUGUCAGGGCAGUAAUGCAGCUAACGCAUUAAGCAUCCCGCCUGGGGAGUACGGUCGCAAGAUUAAAACUCAAAGGAAUAGACGGGGACCCGCACAAGCGGUGGAGCAUGUGGUUUAAUUCGAAGAUACGCGAAGAACCUUACCUAGGCUUGACAUUGAUAG
This 900-nucleotide ribosomal RNA is filed under the name uncultured bacterium. Its description in RNAcentral is "bacterial SSU rRNA". It matches the Rfam family "Bacterial small subunit ribosomal RNA", at positions 62 to 993 of the family's 1533-position model. The record is from RNAcentral.